UUUGGAUUUGGAUCCUGGCUCCAGGACGAACGCCGGGCGGCAUGCCUUAAUACAUGCAAUUCGAACGCUGAAGCACUCUGCUUGCAGAGUGCGGAUGAGUGGCGAACGGGUGAGUAACACGUGGGAAAUCUGCCUAGGAGUGGGGGAUAACAUUCGAAAACGGAUGCUAAUACCGCAUAUCUUUUUGAACCGCAUGGUUCUUAAACGAAAGACGGCUUCGGCUGUCGCUCUUAGAUGAUCCCGCGGCGUAUUAGUUAGUUGGUGGGGUAAAGGCCUACCAAGACCAUGAUACGUAGCCGACCUGAGAGGGUGAUCGGCCACACUGGGACUGAGACACGGCCCAGACUCCUACGGGAGGCAGCAGUAGGGAAUCUUCCACAAUGGGUGAAAACCUGAUGGAGCAAUGCCGCGUGAAUGAAGAAGGUCUUCGGAUCGUAAAGUUCUGUUAUUAGAGAAGAACAAGUCAAGGAGUAACUGUCUUGACUUUGACGGUACCUAACCAGAAAGUCACGGCUAACUACGUGCCAGCAGCCGCGGUAAUACGUAGGUGACAAGCGUUGUCCGGAAUUAUUGGGCGUAAAGGGAGCGCAGGCGGUUGGAAUAGUCUGAUGUGAAAGCCCACGGCUUAACCGUGGAAGGUCAUUGGAAACUGUCCAACUUGAAUACAGAAGAGGUAAGUGGAAUUCCAAGUGUAGCGGUGAAAUGCGUAGAUAUUUGGAGGAACACCAGUGGCGAAGGCGACUUACUGGUCUGUAAUUGACGCUGAGGCUCGAAAGCGUGGGUAGCAAACAGGAUUAGAUACCCUGGUAGUCCACGCCGUAAACGAUGAGUGCUAAGUGUUAGGGGGUUUCCGCCCCUUAGUGCUGGAGUUAACGCAUUAGGCACUCCG
This 889-nucleotide ribosomal RNA is filed under the name uncultured bacterium. RNAcentral's name for it is "bacterial SSU rRNA". It matches the Rfam family "Bacterial small subunit ribosomal RNA", at positions 1 to 871 of the family's 1533-position model. The record is from RNAcentral.